GACGAACCGUGCGAACGUUGUUCGGAAUCACUGGGCUUAAAGGGCGCGUAGGCGGGCUGGCAAGUCCGGGGUGAAAUCCCACGGCUCAACCGUGGGACGGCCUCGGAUACUGCCGGCCUGGAGGCGGGUAGGGGCGGGCGGAACUCUGGGUGGAGCGGUGAAAUGCGUUGAUAUCCAGAGGAACUCCGGUGGCGAAGGCGGCCCGCUGGACCCGGUCUGACGCUGAGGCGCGAAAGCCAGGGGAGCGAACGGG
Molecule: ribosomal RNA, 253 nt
Filed under: uncultured bacterium
Lineage: Bacteria
Description: partial 16S ribosomal RNA
Rfam family: Bacterial small subunit ribosomal RNA
Source: RNAcentral